RNAcentral lists this long non-coding RNA (1293 nucleotides) under Phasianus colchicus (ring-necked pheasant). RNAcentral's name for it is "lncRNA (ENSPCLG00000014246.1)". Lineage: Eukaryota; Metazoa; Chordata; Aves; Galliformes; Phasianidae. The record is from RNAcentral.
UGGGGGAUUCUUGGGGGGAUUUGGGGGCAGGGAUGGGGGGGAUUUGGGGGUAUUUAUGGGCAGGGAUGGGGCAUCUGGGGGGGGAGUUUUACAUUUAGGGUAUUUUUUGGUGGCGUUUUGGGGUGAUUUGACGCCGUUUUGGGGACGGCAAAAGGGACGGGAAGAAAUAGGGCCGUUUUGGGGCUUUUUUGGGGUAUUUUGAAGCGGUUUUGGUGAUAUUUGAAUCACUAAAUUUGGAAUCCAAAAGGAUUGCUGGGGGCAUUUGGGGGCUAUUUGAGCUUUUUGGGGGCCGUCUUAGCGCGUUUAGUGGCACUAAAAGCGAUUAUGAGGAUGACGAGGAGGAUUUUGGGUCCGUUUUCAGGUAUUUUGGGGCCGUUUUCAGGUAUUUUGAGGCCGUUUUCAGGUAUUUGGGGGCCAACCCAGGGCGUUUGGAGACACUGUAAGGGAUUAUUAACGCUUUAAGGGGCGUUUUGGAGCUGUUCUCUGAUGUUUCGAAUCCAUUUCGGGGCAUUUUGUGCACUAGCAGUGAUCAUAAGGAGCAUUUUGGGGCCAUUUCGAGGCAUUUUGGGGGUGAUUGAGGUCCCGCCGCCAUUUUCCUCCCGCCGCAGUCCUCCAAACGCCAGCCCCGCCCUUUCCGUGGGGGCGCUCUACCCUCCGCGCCUUUAUGGUAUCCCUCGCUGCGCCGCGAGCGGUGGCGUCACUUCCGGUGGCGCUCUGGGCGGUGCGUCUCGGUGGUUCCGGCGUGAAGGCGGCAGUGGUGAAAGUCACUUUGACGGGAACUGCGACCAUCGGUGACUGGGAGGAACUGGGAGAGACUGGGGGGGUACUGGGAGCACUGGGAAGGGCAUUAGUGCCUUACUGGGAGCUCUGGGAAGGGUUCCAGGGCCUUACUGGAAGCACUGGGAAGGCUUCUGAUGCUUUACUGGGAGCGCUGGGCCUUACUGGGAGCACUGGGAAGGGUCUCAGGGCCUUACUGGGAGCACUGGGCCUUACUGGGAGCACUGGGAAGGGUCUCAGGGCCUUACUGGGAGCACUGGGAAGGCCAUUAGUGCCUUACUGGGAGCGCUGGGCCUUACUGGGAGCACUGGGAAGGGUCUCAGGCCUUACUGGGAGCACUUUGAAGCCCAUUAGUGCCUUACUGGGAGCACUGGGCCUUACUGGGAGCACUGGGAAGGGUCCUGGUCCCUUACUGGGAGCACUGGGAAGCAUCUCAAACUCACAGCACCCACAACAAGAUCCUCAGUGCCUCCCUGAGUCCCCUUUAAGACCCCCCAACCUCCUUCCUUUCCCCCC